AAACAUAACCUUUAGCCAAACCAAUAUUAAAGGCAACACCUGCCCGGUGAACAAUUAAACGGCCGCGGUACCCUAACCGUGCAAAGGUAGCAUAAUCAUUUGUCUACUAAUUAUAGACCUGUAUGAAAGGUAAAAUGAGGGUCCAACUGUCUCUUAUAAUAAAUCAAUUAAACUGAUCCCCCAGUAAAAAAGCUGGGAUACCCACAUAAGACCAGAAGACCCUGUGAAGCUUAAACUAACAAUUAAACCAAAUAAUAACUACUUUCGGUUGGGGCGACCUUGGAAAAAAAAAGAACUUCCAAAUACACGAUCUUACCUCGAACUAACAGGCCCACAAGCCACCAAAUAUUGACCCAGCAAAGCUGAUAAACGAACCAAGUUACUCCAGGGAUAACAGCGCAAUCUUCUUCAAGAGCCCAUAUCAAAAGGAAGGUUUACGACCUCGAUGUUGGAUCAGGACAUCCUAAUGGCGCAGCCACUAUWAAGGGUUCGUUUGUUCAACGAUUAAUAGUCCUACGUGAUC
This 523-nucleotide ribosomal RNA is filed under the name Drymoluber brazili. RNAcentral's name for it is "partial 16S ribosomal RNA". It matches the Rfam family "Bacterial large subunit ribosomal RNA", at positions 1811 to 2605 of the family's 2925-position model. The record is from RNAcentral. Lineage: Eukaryota; Metazoa; Chordata; Lepidosauria; Squamata; Colubridae.